UUUUUUUUGGCUUGACUUUCUUAAAGGGGAAGGGUUGUUUUAAACUUUUUACACUGCUGUUGGGAGGAAAUACUCCCCUGUUGGAGUUCUUCCAGCCAGGGUGCAAUGAUCAGCACUUUGAAGAAAUAAUUGAAUAACGAAGCAGAAGCUUUUAAUGACAAGGAACCAAGAUGAGUGACAUUCAGCAAGGCUUCUUGGCUAGCUAGAAAGAUUGACAUUCAAACGUCAGAAAACCUGGACCUGGAAUAUCCAUGGGCAGCUUGUUUCCAUUCCAUUAUUUCCCUCCUGAAAGGAAGUAAUUGUAGUCUGGAUUUCCAGGAGGGAGAAAUUCCAGAGGACCAAGAGACAGCAAACUUUAGAUGGUUUGGCUGGAAGAAAGAGAGUUAAGAUGGCGCCUCCCUAGCAAUUCUUAGAGUAUAACUCUAUGUAAGAAGUUGCUUUAGUUUGGCAAGAUUUCUGGCUGUGGAUGAGGAGCAGAAAAGGAAACUGCUUGGAAGUAAUCCUAUGUGUCUUUCUUGGUUUUUUGGGUCUGACAAUUACAGAGAUGUGGAAACAAAAAGAUCUGCUCCACCAUUAGGAAGAAGGAGGAAAGUGAUUUGGGAUAUCUUUGAAGAGACAAAAUGGGACUUACCAUCCAAAUGCUUGAAUAAUUGGGUUAAGUUUGAAUGCCAUGCUUGACCAGUGUGAUAGGAAUCGGGCAAUCCUGCUUUGGCUUAGGCAUCAAGAGAUAUGCUGGGUAAACUGGGUAAUGGGAUCCAGGUGCUGUGACACUUUUGAAAUCAUAUUAAAAAAGAGCUGCGCAUAUAAAAA
Long non-coding RNA from Pantherophis guttatus, 810 nucleotides. RefSeq lists it as uncharacterized. Lineage: Eukaryota; Metazoa; Chordata; Lepidosauria; Squamata; Colubridae. The record is from RefSeq and is a predicted model, not a curated record.